GGUUCUUGAGGGCAGGAAUUGGGUCUUAGGACUGAUAGCCCCUAGUGGCUAGCAGCCCAUGGCAGUGUCUGGUAAACACUGGUGGAGUCCUGGGUGGAAGAAGGUCUGGUCCUCA
RNAcentral lists this microRNA precursor (115 nucleotides) under Rhinopithecus bieti (black snub-nosed monkey). RNAcentral's name for it is "miRNA (ENSRBIG00000020945.1)". The record is from RNAcentral. Lineage: Eukaryota; Metazoa; Chordata; Mammalia; Primates; Cercopithecidae.